Molecule: long non-coding RNA, 227 nt
Organism: Syngnathoides biaculeatus (alligator pipefish)
Lineage: Eukaryota; Metazoa; Chordata; Actinopteri; Syngnathiformes; Syngnathidae
Exons: 3
Source: RefSeq, a predicted model, not a curated record
UUUUGAAGCCACACUUGUAUGGUGGGAGGAAUGACUUCCUCUUGUUCGGGGCUUCCGAGAGAAAGAAUGUUGAGAGUGUUUGGGAAGAGAAAUCUUUGAACAUCCGUCAAUGUGUCUCCUUUAUAAUACAGGUCUCCAGGGAGAAUAUCUUCUGAUGAUUUGUCCAAGACAUUUUCGGGGCAACUAUAGCUGCAAAUGAUCAUCCAUAGGUUCACCUUUCACGUCCU